GUAGGUGGCAAGCGUUGUCCGGAAUUAUUGGGCGUAAAGCGCGCGCAGGCGGUUCUUUAAGUCUGAUGUGAAAGCCACGGCUCAACCGUGGAGGGUCAUUGGAAACUGGAGAACUUGAGUACAGAAGAGGAAAGCGGAAUUCCACGUGUAGCGGUGAAAUGCGUAGAGAUGUGGAGGAACACCAGUGGCGAAGGCGGCUUUCUGGUCUGUAACUGACGCUGAGGCGCGAAAGCGUGGGGAGCAAACAGGGAUUAGGAUACCUGGUAGUCCACGCCGUAAACGAUGAGUGCUAAGUGUUAGGGGGGUUUCCGCCCCCCUUAGUGCUGCAGCUAACGCAUUAAGCACUCCGCCUGGGGAGUACGGCCGCAAGGCUG
RNAcentral lists this ribosomal RNA (374 nucleotides) under uncultured organism. Its description in RNAcentral is "partial 16S ribosomal RNA". It matches the Rfam family "Bacterial small subunit ribosomal RNA", at positions 527 to 896 of the family's 1533-position model. The record is from RNAcentral.